RNAcentral lists this ribosomal RNA (528 nucleotides) under uncultured bacterium. RNAcentral's name for it is "bacterial SSU rRNA". It matches the Rfam family "Bacterial small subunit ribosomal RNA", at positions 981 to 1509 of the family's 1533-position model. The record is from RNAcentral.
UUGACAUCCACGGAAUUUGGCAGAGAUGCCUUAGUGCCUUCGGGAACCGUGAGACAGGUGCUGCAUGGCUGUCGUCAGCUCGUGUUGUGAAAUGUUGGGUUAAGUCCCGCAACGAGCGCAACCCUUAUCCUUUGUUGCCAGCGGCUCGGCCGGGAACUCAAAGGAGACUGCCGGUGAUAAACCGGAGGAAGGUGGGGAUGACGUCAAGUCAUCAUGGCCCUUACGGCCAGGGCUACACACGUGCUACAAUGGCGCAUACAAAGAGAAGCGACCUCGCGAGAGCAAGCGGACCUCAUAAAGUGCGUCGUAGUCCGGAUUGGAGUCUGCAACUCGACUCCAUGAAGUCGGAAUCGCUAGUAAUCGUAGAUCAGAAUGCUACGGUCGAAUACGUUCCGGGCCUUGUACACACCGCCCGUCACACCAUGGGAGUGGGUUGCAAAAGAAGUAGGUAGCUUAACCUUCGGGAGGGCGCUUACCACUUUGUGAUUCAUGACUGGGGUGAAGUCGUAACAAGGUAAGCGUAGAUGA